GCGGGAAGCCCUUCGGGGUACAUCAGCGGCGAACGGGAGAGUAACACGUGGGUGAUCUGCCUUGCACUCUGGGAUAAGUUUGGGCAACUGGGUCUAAUACCGGAUAUGACCAUGGGAUGCAUGUCUUGUGGUGGAAAGAUUUAUCGGUGCGAGAUGGGCCCGCGGCCUAUCAGCUUGUUGGUGGGGUAAUGGCCUACCAAGGCGACGACGGGUAGCCGGCCUGAGAGGGCGACCGGCCACACUGGGACUGAGACACGGCCCAGACUCCUACGGGAGGCAGCAGUGGGGAAUAUUGCACAAUGGGCGGAAGCCUGAUGCAGCGACGCCGCGUGAGGGAUGACGGCCUUCGGGUUGUAAACCUCUUUCGACAGGGACGAAGCGUGAGUGACGGUACCUGUAGAAGAAGCACCGGCCAACUACGUGCCAGCAGCCGCGGUAAUACGUAGGGUGCGAGCGUUGUCCGGAAUUACUGGGCGUAAAGAGCUUGUAGGCGGUUCGUCGCGUCGAUUGUGAAAACUUGCAGCUCAACUGCAAGCUUGCAGUCGAUACGGGCGGACUAGAGUACUGCAGGGGAGACUGGAAUUCCUGGUGUAACGGUGAAAUGCGCAGAUAUCAGGAGGCAACACCGGUGCCGAAGGCGGGUCUCUGGGCAGUAACUGACGCUGAAAAGCGAAAGCCUGCGUAGCCAAACAGAUAUAAUACCCUGGUUAUUCCACGCCGUAAACGGUGGGUACCUAGGUGGGGAUUUUCCUUCAGGGGAUC
Molecule: ribosomal RNA, 762 nt
Filed under: Nocardia sp. Bac65W4
Lineage: Bacteria; Bacillati; Actinomycetota; Actinomycetes; Mycobacteriales; Nocardiaceae
Description: bacterial SSU rRNA
Rfam family: Bacterial small subunit ribosomal RNA
Source: RNAcentral